GCAGGCCUAACACAUGCAAGUCGAGCGGUAGCACAGAGAGCUUGCUCUCGGGUGACGAGCGGCGGACGGGUGAGUAAUGUCUGGGAAACUGCCUGAUGGAGGGGGAUAACUACUGGAAACGGUAGCUAAUACCGCAUAACGUCGCAAGACCAAAGUGGGGGACCUUCGGGCCUCAUGCCAUCAGAUGUGCCCAGAUGGGAUUAGCUGGUAGGUGGGGUAACGGCUCACCUAGGCGACGAUCCCUAGCUGGUCUGAGAGGAUGACCAGCCACACUGGAACUGAGACACGGUCCAGACUCCUACGGGAGGCAGCAGUGGGGAAUAUUGCACAAUGGGCGCAAGCCUGAUGCAGCCAUGCCGCGUGUGUGAAGAAGGCCUUCGGGUUGUAAAGCACUUUCAGCGGGGAGGAAGGCGAUGAGGUUAAUAACCUCAUCGAUUGACGUUACCCGCAGAAGAAGCACCGGCUAACUCCGUGCCAGCAGCCGCGGUAAUACGGAGGGUGCAAGCGUUAAUCGGAAUUACUGGGCGUAAAGCGCACGCAGGCGGUCUGUCAAGUCGGAUGUGAAAUCCCCGGGCUCAACCUGGGAACUGCAUUCGAAACUGGCAGGCUAGAGUCUUGUAGAGGGGGGUAGAAUUCCAGGUGUAGCGGUGAAAUGCGUAGAGAUCUGGAGGAAUACCGGUGGCGAAGGCGGCCCCCUGGACAAAGACUGACGCUCAGGUGCGAAAGCGUGGGGAGCAAACAGGAUUAGAUACCCUGGUAGUCCACGCUGUAAACGAUGUCGAUUUGGAGGUUGUGCCCUUGAGGCGUGGCUUCCGGAGCUAACGCGUUAAAUCGACCGCCUGGGGAGUACGGCCGCAAGGUUAAAACUCAAAUGAAUUGACGGGGGCCCGCACAAGCGGUGGAGCAUGUGGUUUAAUUCGAUGCAACGCGAAGAACCUUACCUGGUCUUGACAUCCACAGAACUUUCCAGAGAUGGAUUGGUGCCUUCGGGAACUGUGAGACAGGUGCUGCAUGGCUGUCGUCAGCUCGUGUUGUGAAAUGUUGGGUUAAGUCCCGCAACGAGCGCAACCCUUAUCCUUUGUUGCCAGCGGUCCGGCCGGGAACUCAAAGGAGACUGCCAGUGAUAAACUGGAGGAAGGUGGGGAUGAC
This 1149-nucleotide ribosomal RNA is filed under the name Klebsiella variicola. RNAcentral describes it as "bacterial SSU rRNA". It matches the Rfam family "Bacterial small subunit ribosomal RNA", at positions 42 to 1183 of the family's 1533-position model. Lineage: Bacteria; Pseudomonadati; Pseudomonadota; Gammaproteobacteria; Enterobacterales; Enterobacteriaceae. The record is from RNAcentral.